CAGCCGCCGCGGGAAUACGAAGGGUGCAAGCGUUACUCGGAAUUACUGGGCGUAAAGCGUGCGUAGGUGGUGGUUUAAGUCCGUUGUGAAAGCCCUGGGCUCAACCUGGGAACUGCGCUUAAGACUGGUGUGCUUGAGGAUGGAAGAGGGUUGUGGAAUUCCCAGUGUAGAGGUGAAAUUCGUAGAUAUUGGGAAGAACACCGGUGGCGAAGGCGGCUCACUGGACCAUUACUGACGCUGAGGUGCGAAAGCGUGGGGAGCAAACAGGAUUAGAUACCCCUGUAGUCCCUGUCUCUUAUAC
This 301-nucleotide ribosomal RNA is filed under the name uncultured bacterium. RNAcentral describes it as "partial 16S ribosomal RNA". It matches the Rfam family "Bacterial small subunit ribosomal RNA", at positions 509 to 807 of the family's 1533-position model. The record is from RNAcentral.